UACGGGGGGGGCAAGCGUUGUUCGGAAUUACUGGGCGUAAAGGGCUCGUAGGUGGCCAACUAAGUCAGACGUGAAAUCCCUCGGCUUAACCGGGGAACUGCGUCUGAUACUGGAUGGCUUGAGUUCGGGAGAGGGAUGCGGAAUUCCAGGUGUAGCGGUGAAAUGCGUAGAUAUCUGGAGGAACACCGGUGGCGAAGGCGGCAUCCUGGACCGGCAUUGACGCUGAGGCGCGAAAGCCAGGGGAGCAAACGGG
This 253-nucleotide ribosomal RNA is filed under the name uncultured bacterium. RNAcentral's name for it is "partial 16S ribosomal RNA". It matches the Rfam family "Bacterial small subunit ribosomal RNA", at positions 524 to 776 of the family's 1533-position model. The record is from RNAcentral.